RNAcentral lists this microRNA precursor (122 nucleotides) under Rhipicephalus microplus (southern cattle tick). Its description in RNAcentral is "microRNA rmi-mir-5326 precursor". The record is from miRBase by way of RNAcentral. Lineage: Eukaryota; Metazoa; Arthropoda; Arachnida; Ixodida; Ixodidae.
GGUAUAACCCUGUCGUGGGAACUGGUUUUUGUGAGCACUGUUCGGAAGAACUUCAAGAAAAAUGGGGGCAUUUGAACAGGCUUAGCAAACAAAUGACAAUCCGCUUUGAGACAGCUGUGACA